RNAcentral lists this long non-coding RNA (457 nucleotides) under Ricinus communis (castor bean). RNAcentral describes it as "long non-coding RNA (RCOM_LNC000467)". Lineage: Eukaryota; Viridiplantae; Streptophyta; Magnoliopsida; Malpighiales; Euphorbiaceae. The record is from RNAcentral.
AGACAUCAUCAUCAACUACAAUAAACUACUGUUGCUGCACCUGUUUCUUUCUUUAUCCACACAAAAAACAGAAAAAAAAAAAAAACAAAAAGAAAAAAUACCCCUGCCUAACCAGUUACUCUAAAUAUAGCCACAGCUAUAAAAUGCAAACAGUGAAGAGAGAAAGCACCCAAAAAAAAAGUGUUAGUACGGCGGGGGACUGGAUUUAACAGCUACCAUUUGGCAACAAACAUUGUUUUUGGGUAGGGCAAUAUUACAAGGGGAGGCAUUUGGUCGUGCACACUACUAACGCUGCUGGGUCCAUACAUUUCUUUGCUACCUUGGGUGCCGGUGGCACCACCAUCACCACCACCACCACCACCCUCCCACCAUAUUUGUACUGCCUGUCAACUCACUCCAAAAGAAGUCCAUAUUGGCAUCUUUCACCAUUUUUUUUACUCGCCCGGGGCUAUGUGCG